AAAACAUCUUUUCUUGUUAGUUUUUGAAGUAUGGCCUGCCCGCUGACUUGAGUGUUGAAGGGCCGCGGUAUUUUGACCGUGCAAAGGUAGCAUAAUCAUUAGUUCUUUAAUUGUGAUCUGGAAUGAAUGGCUUGACGAGGCACUGGCUGUCUUAGUGAUGAAUGUUUUAUUGAAUUUGGUCUUUGAGUUAAAAUUCUUAGAUGUUUUUAUGGGACGAGAAGACCCUAUAGAGUUUAACACUUGGCUUAUUUAUUUUAUGUUGUUUGUUUUGUUUUUGGUAAGUGGGCUUUUUGUUUUGUUGGGGUGAUGAGAGGAAUAUAAUUUAACUCCUCUUGGUUUUAGGUUAUAUUGAUUUAUAGUUGUUUGAUCCAUUUAUUUUGAUUGCAAGAUUAAAUUACCUUAGGGAUAACAGCGU
Molecule: ribosomal RNA, 415 nt
Filed under: Coptotermes testaceus
Lineage: Eukaryota; Metazoa; Arthropoda; Insecta; Blattodea; Rhinotermitidae
Description: partial 16S ribosomal RNA
Source: RNAcentral